UCCGUAGGCGGGUUGAUAAGUCAGUGGUGAAAGUUUGCGGCUCAACCGUAAAAUUGCCAUUGAUACUGUAGACCUUGAAUUAGUGUGAAGUGGUUAGAAUGUGUAGUGUAGCGGUGAAAUGCAUAGAUAUUACACAGAAUACCAAUUGCGAUGGCAGAUCACUAACACUAUAUUGACGCUGAGGGACGAAAGCGUGGGGAGCGAACAGGAUUAGAUACCCUGGUAGUCC
This 229-nucleotide ribosomal RNA is filed under the name uncultured bacterium. RNAcentral's name for it is "partial 16S ribosomal RNA". It matches the Rfam family "Bacterial small subunit ribosomal RNA", at positions 568 to 796 of the family's 1533-position model. The record is from RNAcentral.